Long non-coding RNA from Rattus rattus (black rat), 294 nucleotides. RefSeq lists it as uncharacterized. NCBI's taxonomy places the organism in Eukaryota, Metazoa, Chordata, Mammalia, Rodentia, Muridae. The record is from RefSeq and is a predicted model, not a curated record. The transcript has 5 exons.
GGCGUGGAAAGAGCGGGGCUUGGAUGGACGCAAUGGGCGGUCGUGCGUCUUGACGUCACGGAGACCUUAUAUACUCGACUCAGGCGCCAUAUCGGCCUUUCGGAGCUGUGAGGCGAAUCUGAGCAGGAAUGGCGCUGUGGACCUCUGUGAUGGGACAUCUGGUGGAAUCUCACAGGCAGUUCUGUGGCAAAGACGGAUGAAAGCUAAGGACUCAUGAGGAAGCUGGAUAACUGAACAAGAGCCAUGUAAGCAGGCUUUUUGGUACAAGAAUGGGAAGCCAGAAAAUGAAAUGGU